AUAAGCGGAGGAAAAGAAACCAACAGGGAUUGCCUCAGUAACGGCGAGUGAAGCGGCAACAGCUCAAAUUUGAAAUCUGGCCCCCCGGGUCCGAGUUGUAAUUUGCAGAGGAUGCUUUUGGCGCGGUGCCUUCCGAGUUCCCUGGAACGGGACGCCAUAGAGGGUGAGAGCCCCGUACGGUUGGACACCAAGCCUGUGUAAAGCUCCUUCGACGAGUCGAGUAGUUUGGGAAUGCUGCUCAAAAUGGGAGGUAUAUUUCUUCUAAAGCUAAAUACCGGCCAGAGACCGAUAGCGCACAAGUAGAGUGAUCGAAAGAUGAAAAGCACUUUGAAAAGAGGGUUAAACAGCACGUGAAAUUGUUAAAAGGGAAGCGCUUGUGACCAGACUUGCGCCCGGUGAAUCACCCAGCUCUCGCGGCUGGGGCACUUUGCCGGCUCAGGCCAGCAUCAGCUCGCCGUCGGGGACAAAAGCUUCGGGAACGUAGCUCUCUUCGGGGAGUGUUAUAGCCCGCUGCACAAUACCCUUCGGCGGGCUGAGGUACGCGCUCCGCAAGGAUGCUGGCGUAAUGGUCAUCAGCGACCCGUCUUGAAACACGGACCAAGGAGUCAACCUUAUGUGC
RNAcentral lists this ribosomal RNA (619 nucleotides) under Colletotrichum gloeosporioides. RNAcentral describes it as "LSU rRNA". It matches the Rfam family "Eukaryotic large subunit ribosomal RNA", at positions 46 to 687 of the family's 3401-position model. The record is from RNAcentral. Lineage: Eukaryota; Fungi; Ascomycota; Sordariomycetes; Glomerellales; Glomerellaceae.